This 257-nucleotide ribosomal RNA is filed under the name uncultured bacterium. RNAcentral's name for it is "partial 16S ribosomal RNA". It matches the Rfam family "Bacterial small subunit ribosomal RNA", at positions 524 to 776 of the family's 1533-position model. The record is from RNAcentral.
UACGUAGGGCGCGAGCGUUGUCCGGAAUUAUUGGGCGUAAAAGAGUCUCUGUGAGCGGUGUGUCGCGUCGGCCGUGAAAACCUGCAGCUUAACUGUGGGCUUGCGGUCGAUACGGGCAUCACUGGAGUUCGGCAGGGGAGACUGGAAUUCCUGGUGUAGCGGUGAAAUGCGCAGAUAUCAGGAGGAACACCGGUGGCGAAGGCGGGUCUCUGGGCCGAUACUGACGCUGAGGAGCGAAAGCGUGGGGAGCGAACAGG